RNAcentral lists this ribosomal RNA (440 nucleotides) under uncultured bacterium. Its description in RNAcentral is "partial 16S ribosomal RNA". It matches the Rfam family "Bacterial small subunit ribosomal RNA", at positions 338 to 795 of the family's 1533-position model. The record is from RNAcentral.
CCUACGGGUGGCUGCAGUGGGGAAUAUUGCACAAUGGGGGAAACCCUGAUGCAGCAACGCCGCGUGAGGGAAGAAGGAUUUCGGUAUGUAAAGCUCUAUCAGCAGGGAAGAGAAUGACGGUAACUGACUAAGAAGCCGCAGCGAACUACGUGCCAGCAGCAGCGGUAAUACGGAGGGGGCGAGCGUUAUCCGGAUUCACUGGGGGUAAAGGGAGCGUAGACGGUUCUGGAAGUCUGAAGUGAAAGCCCGUGGCUUAACCGCGGCACGGCCUUUGAAACUGUGGAACUGGAGUGCUGGAGAGGCAAGCGGAAUUCCUAGUGUAGCGGUGAAAUGCGUAGAUAUUAGGAGGAACACUAGUGGCGAAGGCGGCUUGCUGGACAGUAACUGACGUUGAGGCUCGAAAGCGUGGGGAGCAAACAGGAUUAGAUACCCUAGUAGUC